GGCGGCGGGGGGUCAGAGAAGCAUUUUUGACAAAUGUUCUCAACAAAUGUC
This 51-nucleotide small RNA is filed under the name Caenorhabditis elegans. RNAcentral describes it as "Unclassified non-coding RNA Y49G5B.5". The record is from RNAcentral. Lineage: Eukaryota; Metazoa; Nematoda; Chromadorea; Rhabditida; Rhabditidae.